GAGGAAAAGAAACCAACAGGGAUUGCCCUAGUAACGGCGAGUGAAGCGGCAACAGCUCAAAUUUGAAAUCUGGCCUCCUUCGGUGGUCCGAGUUGUAAUUUGCAGAGGGUGCUUUGGCGUCGGCAGCGGUCUAAGUUCCUUGGAACAGGACAUCACAGAGGGUGAGAAUCCCGUACGUGGUCGCCUGCCUUCGCCGUGUAAAGCCCCUUCGACGAGUCGAGUUGUUUGGGAAUGCAGCUCUAAAUGGGAGGUAAAUUUCUUCUAAAGCUAAAUACCGGCCAGAGACCGAUAGCGCACAAGUAGAGUGAUCGAAAGAUGAAAAGCACUUUGGAAAGAGAGUCAAACAGCACGUGAAAUUGUUGAAAGGGAAGCGCUUGCAGCCAGACUUGCCCGUAGUUGCUCAUCGGAACUCUUGCUCCGAGCACUCUUCUGCGGGCAGGCCAGCAUCAGUUUGGGCGACCGGAUAAUGGCCUCUGUCAUGUAUCUUCCUUCGGGAUGACCUUAUAGGGGAGGCGUAAUGCGGCCAGCCCGGACUGAGGUCCGCGCAUCUGCUAGGAUGCUGGCGUAAUGGCUGUAAGCGGCCCGUCUUGAAACACGGACCAAGGAGUCUAACAUCUAUGCGAGUGUUUGGGUGUCAAGCCCGGGCGCGUAAUGAAAGUGAACGGAGGUGGGAACCCUCUCGGGGGUGCACCAUCGACCGAUCCUGAUGUCUUCGGAUGGAUUUGAGUAAGAGCAUAGCUGUUGGGACCCGAAAGAUGGUGAACUAUGCUUGAAUAGGGUGAAGCCAGAGGAAACUCUGGUGGAGGCUCGCAGCGGUUCUGACGUGCAAAUCGAUCGUCAAAUUUGGGCAUAGGGGCGAAAGACUAAUCGAAC
Molecule: ribosomal RNA, 873 nt
Filed under: Halobyssothecium sichuanense
Lineage: Eukaryota; Fungi; Ascomycota; Dothideomycetes; Pleosporales; Lentitheciaceae
Description: Halobyssothecium sp. YQ-2022a partial large subunit ribosomal RNA
Rfam family: Eukaryotic large subunit ribosomal RNA
Source: RNAcentral